Molecule: ribosomal RNA, 116 nt
Filed under: Pteropus alecto (black flying fox)
Lineage: Eukaryota; Metazoa; Chordata; Mammalia; Chiroptera; Pteropodidae
Source: RNAcentral
GUCUACAGCCAUGCCAUCCUGAACAAGCCUGAUGUCUGAUCUCGUAAGCCAAGCAGGGUCAGGCCUGGUUAGUACUUGGAUGGGAGACCACCUAGGAAGACCAGGUGCUGUAGACA